GUCUUUACCGCCCUCCCCGCCCCCCCGGAACCAAAAGCUUGGAGUCUGGAGUCUUGCAGGUUGCGACUGAGUCUCCGGAAGCCCCUCUGGACUUGGAGGUUCACACCCCUAUUCCUGGUCACAAUUUCUGGGCAGGAGACCACCCUCUCCCGGAGCGGGGAGGAUCUGUGGGCAGGGCCCCGGCGAGCGCCCACACCCUCGCGUACCCACACAUCCACGUGGGCGUCUCGGGACACAGCAGCAGGUGCUGGCAGGUGACGGGCAGGACCUCCACGGCAGCAACUCAGCUACCAGCGCUUUCCUUUCUCCUUCCAAGGCCCUUUCUUCUCUCCUCGACCUUUUGAGCCCCCCCCCCCCCACUUGCAGCCCAGCUUCCGGCCCGCAGUCUACACCCCUCCGUUCUCCCCACGUGCAGCUCCUCAACGCCUCCAUCCCCACCUGGAGCGAAGUCCCGGCUCCGGAGGCUGGAGGUCCUCGGCGCGUCACGGGGAGGUCCCGGGCCGCCCGGGCAGUGACGGAGCUCGGACCCCUCUGCGUGCUCGAGGAUCCAGGCAGCUGUGAUGUCCUUGCUGUCGCCGCCCCAGUCCGCCGCGCACCAGCUCUGGGGGUGCCGGCCGCGCGCAGCUGCCCGAUUUCUCCUCGCUUCUUGGCUUCCAGGAGGGUCCAGCAGCCCAGGGCUAUGACUAAGGCGCUCACUUGAUCGCAGAGGUGGCGCGGAGCCCGGCGAGCCGAUGACGGACCCCUUCCUCCUGUCUUCAGUGCCUCAACGGAAGAUCCUCAAGGGCUGGAGAGAGAAGGGCUGCUGCUGGACACCCUCCCGGGGAGGCUGCUCCCACCUGCCGCUCGUGGUGUACGAGACUGGGGACUGAGCGAGCCCCAGCCGUCGCUGCCGUCGGUCGGACCGGCCCCCGCCCCGCUCUGCUCGGCCCGCCUCCCGGCCCGGCUCGGCCCGGCCCGGCCCGUCCC
RNAcentral lists this long non-coding RNA (966 nucleotides) under Heterocephalus glaber (naked mole-rat). Its description in RNAcentral is "lncRNA (ENSHGLG00100039845.1)". The record is from RNAcentral. Lineage: Eukaryota; Metazoa; Chordata; Mammalia; Rodentia; Bathyergidae.